Molecule: ribosomal RNA, 494 nt
Filed under: uncultured bacterium
Lineage: Bacteria
Description: bacterial SSU rRNA
Rfam family: Bacterial small subunit ribosomal RNA
Source: RNAcentral
UGGGGAAUUUUNCGCAAUGGGCGAAAGCCUGACGGAGCAAUACCGCGUGAGGGAAGAAUGCCUAUGGGUUGUAAACCUCUUUUUUCAGGGAGGAAUAAAAAGACGUGUACCUGAAGAAUAAGCAUCGGCUAANUCCGUGCCAGCAGCCGCGGUAAGACGGAGGAUGCAAGUGUUAUCCGGAAUCACUGGGCGUAAAGCGUCUGUAGGUGGUUUAAUAAGUCAACUGUUAAAUACUUGAGCUCAACUUCAAAAUCGCAGUCGAAACUAUUAGACUAGAGUAUAGUAGAGGUAAAGGGAAUUUCCAGUGGAGCGGUGAAAUGCGUAGAUAUUGGAAAGAACACCGAUGGCGAAAGCACUUUAUCUGGGCUAUUACUAACACUCAGAGACGAAAGCUAGGGUAGCAAACGGGAUUAGAUACCCCAGUAGUCCUAGCUGUAAACAAUGGAUACUAGAUGUUGAACAGAUCGACCUGUUCAGUAUCAAAGCUAACGCGU